UAGCCCAGUGGUUAAGGCUAUGGAUCGCCAAUCCGGAGACGGCGGGUUCGAUUCCCGU
Aedes albopictus (Asian tiger mosquito) is the source of this 58-nucleotide non-coding RNA. Lineage: Eukaryota; Metazoa; Arthropoda; Insecta; Diptera; Culicidae. The record is from Rfam.